UACGGAGGGUGCAAGCGUUAUCCGGAUUCACUGGGUUUAAAGGGUGCGUAGGCGGGCAGGUAAGUCAGUGGUGAAAUCUCCGAGCUUAACUCGGAAACUGCCUUUGAUACUAUCUGUCUUGAAUAUGGUGGAGGUAAGCGGAAUAUGUCAUGUAGCGGUGAAAUGCUUAGAUAUGACAUAGAACACCUAUUGCGAAGGCAGCUUACUACGCCUAUAUUGACGCUGAGGCACGAAAGCGUGGGGAUCAAACAGG
Molecule: ribosomal RNA, 253 nt
Filed under: uncultured bacterium
Lineage: Bacteria
Description: partial 16S ribosomal RNA
Rfam family: Bacterial small subunit ribosomal RNA
Source: RNAcentral